Molecule: small RNA, 425 nt
Filed under: Pongo abelii (Sumatran orangutan)
Lineage: Eukaryota; Metazoa; Chordata; Mammalia; Primates; Hominidae
Description: processed transcript
Source: RNAcentral
GUGGCCGCCGCUGCCAACGAGCUCAACAACAACCUCCCGGGCGGCGCGCCGGCCGCACCUGCCGUCCCCGGUCCCGGGGGCGUGAACUGCGCGGUCGGCUCCGCCAUGCUGACCCGGGCGGCCCCCGGCCCGCGGCGGUCGGAGGACGAGCCCCCAGCCGCCUCUGCCUCGGCUGCACCGCCGCCCCGGCGUGACGAGGAGGAGCCGGACGGCGUCCCGGAGAAGGGCAAGAGCUCGGGCCCCAGUGCCAGGAAAGGCAAGGGGCAGAUAGAGAAGAGGAAGCUGCGGGAGAAGAGGCGCUCCACCGGCGUGGUCAACAUCCCUGCCGCAGAGUUAAAAAUAUGAAGAUUAAGGGGAAAUUGAAGACAAGGCUUUGGAAAAGCUACAUUCCUCAACUUGAUUUUUAAAAGUAGCUGAUGACAAAU